Molecule: long non-coding RNA, 2694 nt
Organism: Cyprinus carpio carpio
Lineage: Eukaryota; Metazoa; Chordata; Actinopteri; Cypriniformes; Cyprinidae
Source: Ensembl
CUAAUUUAUUGAGAUGCACCUGUAUUUUCCUGUGACUCUGUUAAGCUGCUUUGACACAACCAGUAUUGUAUAAAGUGUUAUACAAAUAAAGUUGACUUGGUCUCUUUUUAAAGAAAACACUUCAAGAUUAUUGCUGAAGAGAAAAGUUUGUAUGUAAAACUGAACAUGAAAAUCAAAGCCAUAAAUCUAAAGAAGUUGUGCUCCAAAUUUGAAGUUGAUAUUACAAUUUUUUUUCUUUCAGUCAGAUUUUGUUUGGGCCAUUAAUAUAAACCAUAAAUGACACCAGAUACACACCGACAGAUGUUUCCAUGUUUGUAAUUUAAUAAAAAGACAUGACAAUCUGAAAUUCAGUUCUUCUUUGCAGUUACUUUAAGCUCUGUAUUUGUCAAGAUAUCAUCUCUCUAAAAUCUGAUAUACCUUUACAACAGCAUUUAAGAAAACAACUUUUAAACGUGUUACUUCAUAUAAGUCAUAUUUACAGAAUGUACAUGAUCACUCAAUGAAAACACUUUUAACGGCUAACAUCAUGUUACGAUACAUCACUGUACACAGAUCAGAGAUCAGAUGACUGUACAGGAGAGAGAGCGAGGAGAUUCAGUGUCCUUCAACAGUCUGAUUUCAGGAAUCAAUCAUGGUCUGAUUGGCACAGAUGAGCAAAAUAAACUCCAAUGGAAUGAAACGCUGCUGAUCUCCAAACUCAAUGAUCCCUAAAACAUGACUGAUGAUGAGUGUGACUGGGUUUAACACCAGCUGCAGCCAGACGAGAUCAAUAUCAAACCAAUAAAACAACAAAAGUUAAGGCAACCAAUACUUCGAAAUACAGACGGAUGAAUCUCACUGUAAAGAACAGGUCCAGAUAUCAUAGUUCAGCCCGAACAUGACACCAGCUUCUCAGACCACUGAGAUUUUUUGCAUUUUGAUGUGAUUUUUAGCUGCAAAUAUUAUGAAAUGCAAAAAAAUAUUCUGAAAAAAAAAAGUAUAUUUAAAUGUCAAAAUAUUUAUACAUUAUGAAUUUAUAUUAAUGUAUUACAGUAAUGAUAAUCUAAAGAGAAUCACUAUUGAUACUGAAAAACAGAAAACAAAUCAAAAGUAAAUGUCCAGGAAUUAUGGUUUAUUCUCUACACUAUUUUGUGUUACAGAUGGUUUUGCUAGUUUGAGUUAAACCAAUGGUUUUCUAAAAUAAAUAAAAUAGAUUUAAAAAUUGAAAAAAAAAAAGGGUAAUUGCGACUUUUUAACCCAAUUCUGACUUAUUUUCUAACAACUGCAAGUUUAUAUCUAACAAUUCUGAGUGUAUAUCUCACAUAGUUUGACUCAAAUAUUUGUUUCCAUCACAGGAUAAAAAAUAAAAAGGUAGCCUACUUGAAACUUUUAUCUCACAAUUGCGAGUUUAUAACUCAGAAUUCUAUUUGGAAAGAAAAAAACAACAACUCAGAACUGGGAGAUAAAGUCGCAAUUACUUUUUUCUUUUAUUUUUGAUCAUGUGGCAGAAAUGAGUUUCCACAGAAGAGACCUGGUGAUAUCAAUCAUAAUGCAAAAAAAAGCCAAAAUGAUAAUAAAACAGACAUCCCUUUCUUUAUGCAAAAUAUAAUUUCCUAUUUUUUUCUGUUGAUCUGAGUGUGAAGCAUGAUCUGGAGAUGUUGUUGAGACUGAUCCUGAUAGAGGUGCAGACUGACGUCUGUCGGACAGGACCAGACUCCAGACGCCUGAGGUAAGACUGACCUCGAGCUUCCAGACAGAAAAGCUGAGAGAGAGAGAGAGAGAGAGAGAGAGAGAGAGAGAGAGAAACCAGUCCGUAUCCUUCAGAGCAAAACUCCACAUUGACGGACGUCAUCUGUGUAACAACAGUAACUUCACCACACCUGCUCCGGUUCAUCGCUGCAGCGUUUCUGAGGAGUCUGAACACGUGUGUGAGAAACAGAAACGGUCCGGGAAUCACACACACGGGGGAAUGUGGCGAGAGUGUGUUCAGGAACUCUUUUCCACAUGAGUUCAAAGUGACCAGUCCAUCAAGACCCAGCUACAGCAUGAAAGCAGUCACGUGAUGCUGGGACUCUGUAUUCACUCUCAGUGUGCAGCCGUUCAAACACAAGUGAAUAUUUUAGUGGAAAAGAGAGCACAUGGGCUGCUGUUAAGAUACUCCUAUGUGGCGUUUUGUCAUUUUUGGCACUUGACGGACAUAUUAAAGAUGUAUCCGAUGAUUCUGUGUUCUUCACAGAAGCAGCCUGCGUGAGGUGCUGUCAGAGCGCGUCCUGUACGUGUGUGUGUUACUGCGGUUAGCAGACGGCGGCGGUGUUCCCGUCUCUGCGUCCCUGUUUCUUCAGGAGCUGGAUGCGGUUGUGGCAGUAGAACUUGAUGGCCCUCCAGUCGCGCUGGUUGCUGACCAGCAGAGGGCAGAGCUGCAGGCACCGCUCACAGUCCGCUUUCGCAGGAACACGCAGCUCCAUGAUGUUCUUCUUCAGAUUGAACAUAACUUCUGAUUACUGAAGUGAGCUGACCUGACUUGACCUGAGCGCUGCGUCUCUUGUGUCCGGCUGACGGCGAGCUGGUGGACUGGUGAGGGCUGCUCUUCUUCCGCCGCGGCGCUCGAGUGCUCGACCCUUCCUUCUUCACAGAGUCUUGAGUCUUACUGGCCUCUCCAUCAGAGUCAUCAGAGAAAGAGUCGGCAGAGUUCCCCGACAUCACUGACACAAACAC